GGUUGUGGCUCAGUGGUAGAGAGCUUACCUUGCACGUGCGAGGCCCUGGGUUCGAUCCUUAGCACCA
RNAcentral lists this transfer RNA (67 nucleotides) under Marmota monax (woodchuck). RNAcentral's name for it is "tRNA.Ala". Lineage: Eukaryota; Metazoa; Chordata; Mammalia; Rodentia; Sciuridae. The record is from RNAcentral.